CUGCGUUUCCUUGACAACCAUGGGUUCUGAGUGCCUACGUUAUGGGACUGUUGGCCAUCGGUGGGGAAACUGAGGAGCAAAUACUCCAGUGAGUGUCCUGAGGUUCUUGCUGCCCACAGCAGCAGAGUCAGGAUCCAAACCCAAGUCUAUCCAACUUGACAGCUGGACCAGUCCAUCCACACAAAAUGAGUUACCACCAGCCUCAGGCGGAAGCCUCGGCUUUUCAUCGUCUCUAGUCAUGAGGCUGAAAUCCAGGAGGAGCCAUCCCGAGGAACCCUGACAAGGUGAAGCCAAGUCCUAAGAGAAAUAGCUUGCAGACAGAGCUCAUCUUAGUAGGGUAGGAACUUUCCCUGGCCACUGGAAAUCAGGCUUGAUCUCAAUCGCUCUGUGUUUUUCCUUGGUAGAAGACCCAGGUAACUAAG
Molecule: long non-coding RNA, 422 nt
Organism: Peromyscus eremicus (cactus mouse)
Lineage: Eukaryota; Metazoa; Chordata; Mammalia; Rodentia; Cricetidae
Exons: 4
Source: RefSeq, a predicted model, not a curated record